This 497-nucleotide ribosomal RNA is filed under the name uncultured bacterium. RNAcentral's name for it is "bacterial SSU rRNA". It matches the Rfam family "Bacterial small subunit ribosomal RNA", at positions 899 to 1397 of the family's 1533-position model. The record is from RNAcentral.
ACUCAAAUGAAUUGACGGGGGCCCGCACAAGCGGAGGAACAUGUGGUUUAAUUCGAUGAUACGCGAGGAACCUUACCCGGGCUUGAAAUGCGGACGAUCGGGGGUGAAAGCCCCCUUCCAGCAAUGGCGUCCGCGUAGGUGCUGCAUGGUUGUCGUCAGCUCGUGCCGUGAGGUGUCGGCUUAAGUGCCAUAACGAGCGCAACCCCUGCCCGCAGUUGCCAGCAUUCAGUUGGGGACUCUGCGGGGACUGCCACCGCAAGGUGCGAGGAAGGCGGGGAUGACGUCAAAUCAGCACGGCCCUUACGUCCGGGGCGACACACGUGUUACAAUGGGCGGUACAGAGGGAGGCCAGGCGGCGACGCCGAGCAGAUCCCAAAAAACCGCUCUCAGUUCGGAUCGGAGUCUGCAACUCGACUCCGUGAAGCUGGAUUCGCUAGUAAUCGCGCAUCAGCCAUGGCGCGGUGAAUACGUUCCCGGGCCUUGUACACACCGCCCGU